AGCGAACGCUGGCGGCAUGCCUUACACAUGCAAGUCGAACGGCAGCACGGGAGCUUGCUCCUGGUGGCGAGUGGCGAACGGGUGAGUAACAUAUCGGAACGUACCCAGUCGUGGGGGGAUAACUAUCCGAAAGGAUAGCUAAUACCGCAUACGUCCUGAGGGAGAAAGCGGGGGAUCGCAAGACCUCGCGCGAUUGGAGCGGCCGAUAUCGGAUUAGCUAGUUGGUGGGGUAAAGGCUCACCAAGGCGACGAUCCGUAGCGGGUCUGAGAGGACGACCAGCCACACUGGAACUGAGACACGGUCCAGACUCCUACGGGAGGCAGCAGUGGGGAAUUUUGGACAAUGGGGGCAACCCUGAUCCAGCAAUGCCGCGUGAGUGAAGAAGGCCU
RNAcentral lists this ribosomal RNA (390 nucleotides) under uncultured bacterium. Its description in RNAcentral is "bacterial SSU rRNA". It matches the Rfam family "Bacterial small subunit ribosomal RNA", at positions 29 to 417 of the family's 1533-position model. The record is from RNAcentral.